AGGACGAACGCUGGCGGCGUGCUUAACACAUGCAAGUCGAACGAGGCGCUUGCGCCUAGUGGCGAACGGGUGAGUAACACGUGAGCAACCUGCCCUUGGCUCUGGGAUAGCCUCCGGAAACGGGGAUUAAUACCGGACAUGACCUUCUCCUGCAUGGGGGAGGGUGGAAAGUUUUUCGGCCAGGGAGGGCUCGCGGCCUAUCAGCUUGUUGGGGGGGUAACGCCCACCAAGGCGACGACGGGUAGCCGGCCUGAGAGGGCGACCGGCCACACUGGGACUGAGACACGGCCCAGACUCCUACGGGAGGCAGCAGUGGGGAAUAUUGCACAAUGGGGGAAACCCUGAUGCAGCGACGCCGCGUGCGGGAUGAAGGCCUUCGGGUUGUAAACCGCUUUCAGCAGGGGCGAAUUCAGACGGUACCUGCAGAAGAAGCGCCGGCUAACUACGUGCCAGCAGCCGC
RNAcentral lists this ribosomal RNA (460 nucleotides) under uncultured bacterium. RNAcentral's name for it is "SSU rRNA". It matches the Rfam family "Bacterial small subunit ribosomal RNA", at positions 26 to 518 of the family's 1533-position model. The record is from RNAcentral.